AUCAAAUAUAGCAUACAACGUUGUAAACGGGUUAUGUUCUCCAGUUCAUGAUAUAGAUGCUCCAGUUUAUAUAACCAUUGGAGAUGGUGGAAACUCUGAAGGAUUAGUAACUGAGAUGACUGAACCACAGCCAAAUUACUCGGCUUACCGUGAAGCCAGCUUUGGACACGGCACACUGGACAUAAAGAACAGAACUCAUGCCUACUUUGCUUGGCAUAGGAACCAAG
This 227-nucleotide unclassified non-coding RNA is filed under the name Hevea brasiliensis (rubber tree). The record is from RNAcentral. Lineage: Eukaryota; Viridiplantae; Streptophyta; Magnoliopsida; Malpighiales; Euphorbiaceae.